ACAAUAUAUUAGCUCUAAGUGAGAAAAACUUAUAUGAUCUGUAAAUACAAGCUACAUUACCAUUCACAAACAAACAUGAUAGUAACAGAAAUAUUACAUCUUACGAAAUCCAGAAGUUGUGUAAAUAAUAUUUCUAGCACAAACGCAUCCUUCAUAAUUCAAUUACCACAACACAAAAUAGCUAACAAGACAAAUGUUUUGACAGUUUAAGUUCUUCACACAUACGUAAUUCUCGCAGAGAGGAGUCUGAUGAUAUCUUCAAGAUUAUGCCCACAAGUCGUAGCAAUUUGACGAACCAACAAGAUGGCGUCCAGAGGACUAGAGGCAGCACUCCUCCAAAAGACAGCAACAACAAAGAGUAGCCAAACAUCCCCUUAGAAAUGAAGAACAUCCAUCGUCAUUACGAUAAUAGCCACCACCAUCAUGGUACAUAUGCUGAGGUGGUGGUGGUGGAGGAUAUUGAUCAUUAAAAUACCCCUGAUAACCCUGAGGUCCAGGAGGUGGUGGUGGAGGAGGAUACCCUCCGUUAUAAAACCCCGGUGGCGGUGGCAUCCCCUGCCCUGGGUAUCCUUGUGGUUGCGGUGGCGGUGGUGGUCCAUACCCUGGUGGAGGGUAGUCAGGGUAAGAACCUUCAUGAACAUGUUGAUAACUCAUUGUGAUGGUGUGAUUUGAGUGGGAAAAAAAUGAAUAAGAGGUACAGGUAGAUGAGUUAUUAAAUAAAGGGGUGUUAAACUUAGGUGUUAAGGUACAGGGGCAGGUGUGAAGAUGAAAUGAAAGAAAAUUAAAUUUUAGAAAGAGGAUAUAAUUAUGAUAGUCAUUCACAUGUUAGCAAACAGAGAAU
This 841-nucleotide unclassified non-coding RNA is filed under the name Hevea brasiliensis (rubber tree). The record is from RNAcentral. Lineage: Eukaryota; Viridiplantae; Streptophyta; Magnoliopsida; Malpighiales; Euphorbiaceae.